UAAGGCUUUAAGUUAAAUAAACUA
RNAcentral lists this transfer RNA (24 nucleotides) under Drosophila willistoni. RNAcentral's name for it is "partial tRNA-Trp". The record is from RNAcentral. Lineage: Eukaryota; Metazoa; Arthropoda; Insecta; Diptera; Drosophilidae.